GGAGAGUGGGACCACUGUGCAAAGUCUUCUCCACAACAUCCCAAAGAUUCUCAGUGGGGCUGAGGUCUGGACUCUGUGGAGGACAAUCCAUGUGUGAAAAUGAUGUCUCAUGCUCCCUGAACCACUCAUUUACAAUGUGAGCCCCAUGAAUCCUGGCAUCGUCAUCUUGGAACAUGUCCAUGAAAUCAGAGAAGAAAAACUCCAUUGAUGGAAAGACCUGGUCAUUCAGUAUAUUCAGGUAGUCAGCUGACCUCAUCCUUUGGGAACAUAACUUUGCUGAACCUGACCAACCCCAGAUCAUAACCCAAACCCCCACAGGCUGGUAGGCACUAGCUAUGAUGAGUGCAUCACUUCAUCUGCCUCUCUUCUUACCCUGAUGGCCCAUCACUUUGGAACAGGGUGAAUCUGCACUCAUGAGACCACGUUUGCUCCUCGAAGAUGAUGGUUCACCACUAUCCUACCAGGUUUUAAUAAUGCGUUGGACAGUUCUUAACCUGAUUUUAGUAGUUUUAAAAAUCUCCUUAGUUGUUUUCUUUGUUGAUGCAGGCCAAUAAUUUGACCCUUCUGAGACACAUUAACAUCCUUUCCAUGACCACAGGAUAUGUCUUCCAGCAUGGUUGUUUAAGAAAUGAGAAGCUCCUCACUGCAUCUGCUGGGGUUUAAAUAAGUUGUUGCAACUGAAACGUAUUAAUCACUGCAGUAAUUAUCCAAUGGAAGGAUCUUACCCAUUUGCCUAGUUAAAUCCAGGUUGUUUUUUUUGGCCAGGCAGUGUAUUUAUGAGAGCUGAUCUGAUCCACACAGGGCCCAGUAGGUGGCAGCACGUGUUCACAGUGUGGCAUUUAUUAAUCACAGCAAAAGUAAUGAAACAUAAAUGAAAAGGUAGGAUAUCAGUAAAAAAAAAAAAAAAAAAAAAAAAGCAGAACAGUAAUUGCAAUCUGAUGCAUAGUUAAUUAUGUCUCAAAUGUUAAGCUCAGAUAGAAGAACAGCAGUAAAGCAUUAGUAAAAUAAGCCGCUUGUAAUGUGAGAAGUUAAUUUUACAGUGAUAUUUGCAUUUUUCUCGGCAGUCCACAGCUGCUAUCUGUCUUCUCCCGCACUAAUCUGACAGAGAGAUGAUGAGCAGCUCCGACCGGCGGACGGAUAAAGAGUUAACCGUGUCCGGGCUCCGCGGCCUCUGAUUGGCCGGCAGCAGCAGCGCUGGGACGGACAACAAGUCUCCGCUGAGUGCGCACUGGAAAAGUCACUUGGUGGUCGAGGCGGGCAACGCAGACCGGACCGCACGGAGUUUUUUUUUUUUUAAAUUGAGAAUUAACAUAUUGGAACUUGUGUUGUAAUUUAUGGAGUUUGUAAUUUGCAGAAGUGCAGCCGUGAAUCCGUUAUUUUAUCCCGGAGACAGACGGUCCAGCUAGAGGUCGCUGGAAAGUCGGCCGCUGUCACUUUUGAUUCAUGGACUCAACACGGACUUUAGCUAGAAGUGUUUCUGUCAAGAGGCUGACACAAGGUUGACUCAAUUCACUCAAUAUCAAGAUUUAGGGAAUAUGAAUUUGUGUCUGGACAGUAUGGGCAUCCUGAAGAUUGUGCUGUUCAUCUUCGAGGCAGUUUUACUGACUGACUGCGUACGAGGACCUCCACGGGUGUCUGAGAAAGUUGCUCACAGACAGACCGCCCGCUUGGGCAGCGCCAUCAAGCUGCCGUGUCCUGUGGAAGGAGACCCUCCACCGCUCAUAAUGUGGACCAAGGAUGGACGCAACAUCCACAGCGGCUGGAUUCGCUUCCGUAUCCUCCGGAUGGGCCUGAAGAUCAAAGAGGUGGAGGCAGACGACACGGGGACCUACAUCUGUAAAGCGACUAACGGCUUUGGUAGUGUCAACAUCAACUACACCCUCAUCGUCAUCGAUGACUCAGGUUCUGAUAAAACUGGACCCGGACCAGCUGAUGGAACACAGUCUGAGACGGGCAGUGAAAAGCUCGUGCGUCCCCGCUUCACCCAACCUGCGAAGAUGAGGAAAAGAGUGAUCGCUCGUCCAGUGGGCAGCUCAGUGCGGCUCAAAUGCACAGCCAGUGGAAACCCUCGGCCGGACAUCGUGUGGCUGAAGGACGACAGGCUGCUGACGGAGCAGGAGGUCGGUGAAGGCCGUGAGAAGAAGUGGACGCUCAGUCUGAGGAACCUGACGCCAGAACACAGUGGCAGAUACACCUGCAGGGUCUCCAAUCGUGCAGGGGAAAUAAACGCCACGUACAAAGUUGAGGUCAUACAGAGGACGAACUCCAAACCUAUUCUGACGGGCACUCACCCGGUCAACACGACGGUGGACUACGGAGGCACCACGUCCUUCCAAUGCAAAGUGAGGAGUGACGUCAAGCCAGUCAUUCAGUGGCUCAAACGCGUGGAGACGAACGAGGAGAGCCGCUACAAUUCCACCAUCGAGGUGGGGGACCACAGAUUUGUGGUGCUACCCACGGGGGAGGUGUGGUCGAGGCCCGACGGCUCCUUCCUCAACAAGCUGCUCAUUACCCGCGCCAAGGAGGAGGACGCUGGCAUGUACAUCUGCUUAGGCGCCAACACCAUGGGCUACAGCUUCCGCAGUGCCUUCCUCACUGUGCUGCCAGACACAAAGCCUCCCAUCACGCCCAUGUUCUCGCCAGCCUCCAGCUCCCUCCCGUGGCCCGUCAUCAUCGGCAUCCCCGCUGGAAUAGUCUUCAUCUUCGGCACGGUGCUGCUGUGGUUCUGCCAGAGCAGAAAACGCUGUCCUCCUCCCAGCGCUCCGGCCGCACAGGUGCUACAGAGCUCCCACCGGCCGCCGUAUCGAGAGCGGGACAGGGGCUGCGUGGCUCCGUCGUCCAGCUCCUCAAACCCAGACAAAGACUGCCUGAGCUCCAUGAACUAUGAGGAGUACUUGGCCCAGCAGCAGCUCCUCCUCAGCCAGGGAGGUCCCACAAUCCCCCCUAAAAUCUACCCCAAAAUCUACACUGACAUUCACACACACACUCACUCCCAUGUGGACGGGAAAGUACACCAGCAUCAACACAUUCAUUUUCAGUGUUAGCCUCAGUGCCAAGUAUUCCCCACUAACUGCUCCGGUAUCUCAGACGGACGCUGAGCCGUGGACUUGAACGGCUGCUCCUGAGUGACAUUCGGACUCUUCUCACAGCUGGACGUCGUCGGGAAAAUCGUGCAUGUGUGGGGGUAAAAAAAAGCAACAAAAAACAGUGGCCAGUGAUACACAUUUUGUGUUAAAAACUUCCAUAUUUGGUGCUUCUCGUUUUUAAAAUGUCAGAUUCUCACACCACUAAAAUCCAUUAAUCCUUGUUGUGCACUUAAUACAAAAAAGGACAAGGACAUUUGUGCAGAGUGUGAGUUUAAUUGCAGCUAUUCAGGCUGGCUGAAAGGUCCUUCCUCAGCAGAUGAAUUUUUUUGCAUUUUCCUAAGUGGAAGUUUUACCUUUCACAGCUGUCGGUGUGCUCUGGAUAUUCUGCCUGGUAAUGAAGGUGAAAAUGGUACUCGAGAUAUACCAAAGGGCUGGUUUUCUGCUCCUACUCAGGUCGUCCUUUUGUUUUUUGAAGAUGCAUUAUGCUGGGAAUGCUGACCACUAUCCCUGAUGUUACCUUCCUCCAUCCCUCCCUUCUGUUAAAAAUGAUAUGGAAUAGACUGGUCAGCUUUCCUCCUUUGAGCGGGUUGAAGUGUCUGCUGAGGGUGACACAGAGGGCAGCCAGCAGAGGGACACAAGUUGCUGCGAUGAAUGACUGAAUAGAUACAGACACAAGAGCAGUCUCACAGUCGCUUUUUAGAUGAGUGAUGGCCCCUGCAAGACUACACCGAACGACCAGCAUCUUUUCCCAUUUAAGUGAAUCUACCCCCCCACCCCCCGGUCCGCACCACCACCUCAUUCAGCUCCGAUCUAGGUAGGAUUUCCUUUCACCAUUUAGGAAGUGCAUUGUCCUGCUGUGGGAGUGAUGUGACGGGACCCUGUGAUUGCUCAGGAAAGAAGGGGAGCAUUGUAUCAGGUGAGCUCUUGUUUUGUUGUAAGCAUUGCAGGAUGGAGAUGAGCUUUGGCUCCAGACAGAUGACGGGUGAGAACAUUGAACAGGCUGUCUGGGGUUAAAGUAGACUGAAACUUUAGGGCUCGCACAGCCAUGUUACUUCCAUUUCCAUAAAUAAUGCUUUGAAUGCAAAAUCCAGAUGUCAAGAUUCGAAUACUACGAAGGCAAACACUGCCCUCUAGUGGGGGAAUGGUAUUAGUCUAAAAACGAUCAUGAGAUGAUUGAACUUGUAAAUCAUCUUUAUUAACUUUUUACAGUAUUAAAGGAACAUUGAUAAAGACAAACAAUACACUACACAAGAAAAUGAUCUGGACGUCAACAAUAAAGAAAAGCAGAGGUAAUUAAAACCUACAGUAUUUACAAAUGAGCUCAGCCCUUCUGGACUUUGGAUAUGAGUUCAUCACACAGUUUGGUGAGCUCUUCGGCCUCCUUCUCCUGUUAAAAAGAAAAAUAAAAUACCAGUAAGAUUUUAUACUGACAAGUAAACUUCAGAAUCAAGAUAACAUGACAAAACUAAAAUCAGGUUGGGGGAUCUGGGGUACUAACAUCAAAAAAAUAAUUGUUUUAUGUGACUUUAAUACAUGUAUGAAACCUUUAGGAGAAUUUUGAGAUUAGAAUACAUCAAAAAAACAUCUUGUCUUGAUUAACACCUAAUUUUAAAUAUUUUAACCACAAUGUUUAGCUUGUUUGUCUCUGUGUAGCCCUGUGAUAGACUGUCCAAGGAGUCCCCCACCAUUGCUAUAAAUCAGCUGGGAUAGACUUCAGCACCCUCUGCAACUCUAAUAAGGAUUAAGCGGUAUAUAGAUAAUGGAUGGAUGGAUGUUUAACUAAUUUACAUAAUUUUAUUAGUUUUAAUGUUUCAAGAGAAAUUAAACAGAGGGCCCAUCUUGUUGAAGUCCUAAUAACUUCAUAAAUGUGACAGUCUAAUUCUAUAUUUAUCCAGUUAUCCCCCCCACCCCAAACACAUUAAUUAAAAAAAAAAAAAUCAAACUGUGUAGUAAAAUAAUAAGUAAAUACACUUUUAAUUUCAGGCACGGUUUUCUCACAAGACACUGCAAGGAAAAGUUAUGCGGCUUUGAAUCAUUAAUAAACUAGCAGCUGAGCAAAAUGCAGUUUAUCAGGUCAACAUUCUCAGUCACAUAGAUCUAAUGUUCAAAACCACUGCAAAUGCAUACUAUUUAAUCCAUAUGUUCACUCACCUUCUGGUCCAGGCUCUUCUCCAGUGACUGCACCUUCAGCUGCUCCCGGCGCAGCUGAGCUUGAAGUGCCGAUACCUCGGCUUUGUACUUGGAUCGUACCUCAGCAAUUUCUCCAUUUGCACUGGGGAUGAGAAAUAAAUUACAGUCACUGCAAGUCACCUAAAGCUUUACACAACUUAACAAAAAAACCCCCCAAAACACUGGUGUGUUUCUUACUGGCCAAUUUUCUCCUCAGCGUGAGCUUUGAGGGUCUGGUAGCGCUGCUCCUCCUUUUUGAUCCUCGCCAGGUAGUCCUGUGCACAAGCCUUCAAAGUCUCUUCGUUCUGCGGAAAGAUCACAGGAAAGACCAUUUAAAUCUCCUUUCUGCCUCCUCACAGCCAACCUGCACACCACAAAUUCUUGGUUUCCAUGAACUCGAACCUUUUUGUAGCCCUCAAUAACAUCCUUGUACUUCUCCAGCCUCUUGAAAAGCUCAGAGAAGGAUCUUUCCAUGGCGCUCAGGUCGCUGGACACUUGGUCCUUCUCUAGCAGAGCCUCGUUGAGCUUCGCUUGGGCCACCUCCCUCUCCUUCUCUUGAUCAGCUGAACCAUGCCAGAAAAAUUGAAGAAGGUUUCUUUGGAACACACCAUGAUAUACAUUAUCUUGAUCAGUGUGGCAUAUACAUAAACAUUAACUUACCCAUCAUUUUUGCAAUCACAAGCUCAAAUUCUGCAAUUAUUUUUCUGUGAGGAGGGAAUAAAAAAAGAUGUGAAAUAUCUUGAAACAAUAUUGUUGAAUAAAAUUGAUGAAAACUGAA
RNA transcript from Amphiprion ocellaris (clown anemonefish), 6033 nucleotides. It is a transcript of the gene named fibroblast growth factor receptor-like 1, with no coding region annotated. The record is from RefSeq and is a predicted model, not a curated record. The transcript is spliced from 8 exons. Lineage: Eukaryota; Metazoa; Chordata; Actinopteri; Pomacentridae.